GGACAGCGACACACACCUGUAACCCCAGCAGUCAGGUGGCUGAGGGAGGGUGAUCAAGAGCCCAGUCUGAGUUGUACUGAGACCAUCUCAAAACACAAAAAUGGGCUGGAAUGAUGGCUCAGUGGUUAAGGGUACUGGCUGCUUUCCUGGAGGUGGUGUCACACACCUUUGAAUCCCAGCACUUGGGAGGCAGGGACAGGCAGAUUUCUGAGUCUGAGCCUACAGAGUGAGUUCCAGGACAGCCAAGGCUACAUAGAGAAACCCUGUCUCAAAAAAAUCCAACCAACCAACCAACCCCAGCUCCACCCCCAGCAGAACCAACAAGAGUACUGGCUGCUCUUUUACAGCAUUAGGCUCAACUCUUGGCACCACAGGGCAGCUCACAACCAUUUGUAAUCCUAGUUCCAGGGCAUCUAACAUCCUUUUCUGGCCUCUCCAGAUACCAGGCAAGUCUGUGGUAUAUAGACAGAUAUGUAAGCUACGACUCAUAUACAUAACAAACAGACAAAGAAACAAACAGACUAGGUAUUCACAGGGUAUACCUCAGUGGAGAGUGCAAGGCGCCCCGGAUUUAAUCCUUGGUACCGCCAAAAAACAAAGCAAGAAAGGAAAAGACUGACACUCAAAUGUUUAUUUAUUCAUUCAUUUCUUUCUCUUUGAGACAGAGCCUUGUGUGGCCCAUGCUGGCCUCAAACAUAAUAGUUGAGGAUGACUUUGUACUUCUGAUCUUAACGCUACCUCCCAGAUGCUGGUAUUUUAGGAAUGUGUUUUAGUUAGGCUUUUAUUGCUGUGAAGAGACACCAUGACCAAGGCAACUCUUAUAAAGGCA
Molecule: long non-coding RNA, 829 nt
Filed under: Rattus norvegicus (Norway rat)
Lineage: Eukaryota; Metazoa; Chordata; Mammalia; Rodentia; Muridae
Description: long non-coding RNA NONRATT005687
Source: RNAcentral